CCUACGGGUGGCAGCAGUGGGGAAUAUUGCACAAUGGGGGAAACCCUGAUCCAGCGACGCCGCGUGAGUGAAGAAGUAUUUCGUUAUGUAAAGCUCUAUCAGCAGGGAAGAAAAUGACGGUACCUGAGUAAGAAGCCCCGGCUAACUACGUGCCAGCAGCCGCGGUAAUACGUAGGGGGCAAGCGUUAUCCGGAUUUACUGGGUGUAAAGGGAGCGUAGACGGCAGUGCAAGUCUGGAGUGAAAGGCGGGGGCUUAACCCCCGGACUGCUCUGGAAACUGUACGGCUGGAGUGCAGGAGGGGUAAGUGGAAUUCCUAGUGUAGCGGUGAAAUGCAUAGAUAUCACGCAGAACACCGAUGGCGAAGGCAGCAUACCGGCGCGCAACUGACGCUGAUGCACGAAAGCGUGGGUAGCGAACAGGAUUAGAUACCCGUGUAGUC
Molecule: ribosomal RNA, 440 nt
Filed under: uncultured bacterium
Lineage: Bacteria
Description: partial 16S ribosomal RNA
Rfam family: Bacterial small subunit ribosomal RNA
Source: RNAcentral